GAUGAAGAACGCAGCGAAACGCGAUAAGUAAUGUGAAUUGCAGAAUCCAGUGAAUCAUCGAAUCUUUGAACGCACAUUGCGCCCGCCAGCAUUCUGGCGGGCAUGCCUGUUCGAGCGUCAUUUCAACCCUCGACCUCCCCUUGGGGAGGUCGGCGUUGGGGACCGGCAGCACACCGCCGGCCCUGAAAUGGAGUGGCGGCCCGUCCGCGGCGACCUCUGCGCAGUAAUACAGCUCGCACCGGGACCCCGACGCGGCCACGCCGUAAAACACCCAACUUCUAAACGUUGACCUCGAAUCAGGUAGGACUACCCGCUGAACUUAAGCAUAUCAAUAAGCGGAGGA
This 343-nucleotide unclassified non-coding RNA is filed under the name soil metagenome. Its description in RNAcentral is "partial contains 5.8S ribosomal RNA, internal transcribed spacer 2, and large subunit ribosomal RNA". The stretch from base 1 to 120 matches the Rfam family "5.8S ribosomal RNA", at positions 35 to 154 of the family's 154-position model. The record is from RNAcentral.